CCUACGGGAGGCAGCAGUGAGGAAUAUUGGUCAAUGGGCGGAAGCCUGAACCAGCCAAGUCGCGUGCAGGAUGACGGCUCUAUGGGUUGUAAACUGCUUUUAUACGGGAAUAACGCGCCUUACGUGUAGGGCUUUGCAUGUAUCGUAUGAAUAAGGACCGGCUAAUUCCGUGCCAGCAGCCGCGGUAAUACGGAGGGUCCGGGCGUUAUCCGGAUUUCUUGGGUUUAAAGGGUGCGUAGGCCGCAUGUCAAGCUUGCUGUGAAAUGUCCGGGCUCAACCCGGGCCUUGCAGCGCGAACUGGCGUGCUUGAGACCGCGGAAAGCAGGCGGAAUGAGUCGUGUAGCGGUGAAAUGCUUAGAUAUUACGAAGAACCCCGAUUGCGAAGGCAGCUUGCUACAGCGGAACUGACGCUGAUGCACGAAAGCGCGGGUAGCGAACAGGAUUAGAUACCCGAGUAGUC
RNAcentral lists this ribosomal RNA (460 nucleotides) under uncultured bacterium. RNAcentral describes it as "partial 16S ribosomal RNA". It matches the Rfam family "Bacterial small subunit ribosomal RNA", at positions 338 to 795 of the family's 1533-position model. The record is from RNAcentral.